AUACGUAGGUGACAAGCGUUAUCCGGAUUUACUGGGCGUAAAGGGCGUGUAGGCGGUCUUGCAAGUCAGAAGUGAAAUUCCUGAGCUCAACUCGGGCGCUGCUUCUGAAACUGCAGGACUUGAGUGCUGGAGGGGAUAGCGGAAUUCCUAGUGGAGCGGUAAAAUGCGCAGAUAUUAGGAAGAACACCGGUGGCGAAGGCGGCUAUCUGGACAGUAACUGACGCUGAGGCGCGAAAGCGUGGGGAGCAAACAGGAUUAGAUACCCUGGUAGUCCACGCCAUAAACGAUGAAUACUAGGUGUAGGGGGUAUCGACUCCCUCUGUGCCGCAGUUAACACAAUAAGUAUUCCGCCUGGGGAGUACGGCCGCAAGGUUGAAACUCAAAUGAAUUGGCGGGG
This 397-nucleotide ribosomal RNA is filed under the name uncultured bacterium. RNAcentral describes it as "partial 16S ribosomal RNA". It matches the Rfam family "Bacterial small subunit ribosomal RNA", at positions 523 to 918 of the family's 1533-position model. The record is from RNAcentral.